UAACAAGGUUUCCGUAGGUGAACCUGCGGAAGGAUCAUUACCGAGUGAGGGCCCUCUGGGUCCAACCUCCCACCCGUGUUUUCCGAACCCUGUUGCUUCGGCGGGCCCGCCUCACGGCCGCCGGGGGGCUUCCGCCCCCGGGCCCGCGCCCGCCGAAGACACCUGUGAACGCUGUCUGAAGUUGCAGUCUGAGAAACUAGCUAAAUUAGUUAAAACUUUCAACAACGGAUCUCUUGGUUCCGGCAUCGAUGAAGAACGCAGCGAAAUGCGAUAACUAAUGUGAAUUGCAGAAUUCAGUGAAUCAUCGAGUCUUUGAACGCACAUUGCGCCCUCUGGUAUUCCGGAGGGCAUGCCUGUCCGAGCGUCAUUGCUGCCCUCAAGCACGGCUUGUGUGUUGGGCCCCCGCCCCCCCCCGCGCUGGGGGGGCGGGCCCGAAAGGCAGCGGCGGCACCGCGUCCGGUCCUCGAGCGUAUGGGGCUUCGUCACCCGCUCUUGUAGGCCCGGCCGGCGCCAGCCGACCCCCCUCAAUCUAUUUUUUCAGGUUGACCUCGGAUCAGGUAGGGAUACCCGCUGAACUUAAGCAUAUCAAUAA
Molecule: unclassified non-coding RNA, 592 nt
Filed under: Penicillium copticola
Lineage: Eukaryota; Fungi; Ascomycota; Eurotiomycetes; Eurotiales; Aspergillaceae
Description: sequence contains ITS1, 5.8S rRNA gene and ITS2
Rfam family: 5.8S ribosomal RNA (bases 214-367)
Source: RNAcentral